Molecule: long non-coding RNA, 2852 nt
Organism: Clupea harengus (Atlantic herring)
Lineage: Eukaryota; Metazoa; Chordata; Actinopteri; Clupeiformes; Clupeidae
Exons: 3
Source: RefSeq, a predicted model, not a curated record
AUAUAUGGCUGACAUACUGUACCUUUUCCCAAGUACACACAAUACAUCAUGACCUAAAUGCAGCCCACGCGCCAAAAAGCACUAACAUCAACACACACACGGGCACACAAACAUGAACUCACACACAGACAUAAAAACAUGAACACACUCACACACACACACACACACUAACUACUAAAUUAGAUAGCGAUUUUAAGUCAGUAGCAGCACGGCAGGGGAUGGCAUAAGCACGCUCCGCUCCGUUUGAAGUGUCGUUCUUAUCUGCCUCCCUUCCACUCCGAAACGAGCGCCCCCCCCUCCUCUCCCUCCUCCUCUCCCUCCUCCUCUCUUUUCCUCUCCUCUCCUCUAUCUCUUCCCGUUCUAACACCCCCACGUCUCUUUUCACUUCUCCCACACUUAUCUCAGACCGGACUAGUGCUCUUGUCAUCUCCUUUCCUCCCCCUCUCUGUCUCUUCUCCCUCGCUCUCUCUGCUAUCUCUCGCUCCUCUCAUCCUCUCCUUUUCCUCUGUCAGUCUCAAGCCAGGGCUGCUGGAGGCAGUCUUUCUCCUCCCUCGCUCCUUCUCUCUGCCGCUCUCUCUCUCUCUCUCUCUCUCUCUCUGUCCUUCUGUCUCCCUCCCUCUUACCCCCUCCUUCUCUCUUUCUCUGCCUCGCGCUGGCUCCGUCCCUCCCUCUCCCUCUCCCUCUCCCUCUCUCUCUCUCAUUCGCUAUCAGUCAGGGUAGCGGACACACACUGCACAGUAACACUCUCCCACCCCUUGUGCAGGGGAACGGCUGGAAUCAAAGACCCGCUUCAUGUGGAAAACCGGACCACGGGAAAAGGAAGUCUAAAAACGAAAGAGGAAGAGAGACGACAAGCGACAAACGCAGAAAACACAACUGACAGAGGCGGGGGGGGGGAAAGAAAAGAAACGAGACCACUGAAGGAACGCAGAGUAACUGAAAGAGAGGACAGGAGAGGACGAGAGAGAAACCACGACAAGAGGGAAUUACUAAAAAUACCCAACCGGGUUUCCAGAGGCUGCCCUGUCAUCUACCUCCCUCUCUCUCUCCCUCUCUCUCUCUCUCCCUCUCCCUCUUUCUCUAUCUCUCUCUCCCUGCAGCUCUUCCUCACGGCUUUCGAUACUCUGAAUACCUGUUCCACGGGAUUAAAAUGACUUAAAAUUCAAUCAGUGGACGGAAAGGGGUGAGAAGGAGGGAUGAAAAAAGAAGGGUUUGUCCUCUGAAGAGAUUCAGCGCAGUACAGCUGGCGAGAGCAGGAAAGAGCGAGAGAAAGAGAGAGAGAGGGGGAACGAUUGAGAGGGUGCUGAGAGAGGUGUGGAAGAACGCCAGAGAAAAGAAGCAAGAAAAAGAGAGAGGAGGACCAGAGAGAGAGAAAGAGAGAGAGAGAGAGAGAGAGAGGGUCUCAUCUUUUUCUCCAAGGGGAAUAACAGUUUAGCCUGCUCCCAAAGGACUAGCUGACACCCAGAACCGACGCAAGCGGGAAAGACAGGAGUACCUAUGAGACCUCGUCGUCUGCUGCUUCUUCCCUACGAUCUGCCUCUCUCUCCAUCCAUCUGUUUUCUUUUCUUCCUCCUCUCGUCUCCCUAGAGGUUUGAGUUAUGCUAACUGGCAUCGGCCCUGCAUAGCAAGUAUGGAGGAUCCUUACUGGGUGUAAAAAAGAAAACAACAAAAAAUAAACAAGAGGAAAGAAGAAAAAAAAAAACACACACCAUCAUUUCCAGGAAUAUACAUAAGCCUACAUAAACAUAUGUAACACUAAAUAACUGAAUCAAUGCCUUGAAUGGAACCACAGCAAGGGGGGAAAACAAGAGGAUGACCAAGCCUAAAACAGGAGGAGGGGAAAGGAGCGCGAGGAAGAACAACUGAUGGAAUAAACGAGGGGGAGCUGUUGAACAGAUGAGCCUGCGCGGGAGGUGGAGAACGAGGGGAGCGAGGGAGUGGAGGAAGGGGGACGAGCGAGCACAGGGGGCAGCAGAGCUUUGGAUCGCUGGUCGUUAGCAGGGAGGGGGAGAGAAAAAAACACACGACCGCAGGAGGGGGAGAACAGACAUUUUUUUAAAGAACACCACGAACAAGCACAGAAGGAAGAAAAGAGAAAAGAUGUCUUGACUGUCCUCUGCUGGACAUGUUUUAAUGGAGAGUGUGUGAGGAACACACAUCCACUCACCUGUACACACACACACACACACACACACACACGCACACACACAGGCAUACAGUGGAAUUUUCCAUCUGGACUCACUCAUUCGACCCAAAUCCGGUCUUUGAUGUUGCAGAGUUGGAAUGCAAACACACACACACACACACACACGUAUACACACACUUGCACUCGUCAAUAUACACACACUCAUACCAGCGAAGUACUGCCACCCUCCCCCCUCCAGCCCCCCUACCAGAAGAUACACACCUGAGCCUGGAUUUACACGUGGACGGCGCGCUCACACACUGCUGCCUCUCUCUCUCUCACACACACACACACACACACAGAGACAGACACACACUGCCUGACAUGUGGAGCUGAUUCGCACCUUGGAUCAACACAGACAGCAAAGGUCUGUGGAUAACCCCCUACUAUCAUGCCACACUGCCCACCUCCCCACCCCUCCCAAAAGUCACGCCCGUCCCUGACUCAAUACGUCCAUUUCACUCGUUCACACACCACCACCUCCUCCUCCUCCUCCUCUUUCUCCUCUUCAUCCAUUUCCCCAUCCUUCUCCCUCUCCUCACGCACGUCCAUUCAUUCCAGCCCACCUUCAUGCCACCCACUCUCCUCCUCUCUUCAUCCUCAUCCUCCUCCUCCUCCUCACCCGUGGCCCAAGCUCCCCUGCGCCUGUCCAUCUUCAGCCGCAGCU